AACGAACGCUGGCGGCAUGCCUAACACAUGCAAGUCGAACGAGACCUUCGGGUCUAGUGGCGCACGGGUGCGUAACGCGUGGGAACCUGCCCUUAGGUUCGGGAUAACUCCCCGAAAGGGGUGCUAAUACCGGUUAAUGUCUUCGGACCAAAGAUUUAUCGCCUUUGGAUGGGCCCGCGUUGGAUUAGCUAGUUGGUAGGGUAAAAGCCUACCAAGGCGACGAUCCAUAGCUGGUCUGAGAGGAUGAUCAGCCACACUGGGACUGAGACACGGCCCAGACUCCUACGGGAGGCAGCAGUGGGGAAUAUUGUACAAUGGGCGAAAGCCUGAUCCAGCAAUGCCGCGUGAGUGAUGAAGGCCUUAGUGUUGUAAAGCUCUUUUACCCGGGAUGAUAAUGACAGUACCGGGAGAAUAAGCUCCGGCUAACUCCGUG
Molecule: ribosomal RNA, 433 nt
Filed under: uncultured bacterium
Lineage: Bacteria
Description: partial 16S ribosomal RNA
Rfam family: Bacterial small subunit ribosomal RNA
Source: RNAcentral